Molecule: long non-coding RNA, 1905 nt
Filed under: Homo sapiens (human)
Lineage: Eukaryota; Metazoa; Chordata; Mammalia; Primates; Hominidae
Description: HSALNT0279820
Source: RNAcentral
GUGAAACCCUAGAAAUGAAUCUAAUGAAAUGUUCACUGGAUUACUGGGUAAGAUGUUACUCUAUAUACCUGAAGGAGUGGAUAAGAUAAACCAGCUGCCAGCGUGCUGAAAUGAGACACAGAGAUUCAUGAUAUGUUCACCUGCUACCUGCUUUGGGUCUGAACCAUGGUUGGCUACAGGGCAGGUAUGUGCAUAUGUGGCAAGCUCCCUUUAAGAACUUUGGUCUCUAAGUCUCAAAUGGGCUUUCCCGCAUAAGGAAAUAUCCCUGCAGUUCACAGACAGAAAAAAAACCACAAAUCCAUGUGAUUUUUGCAGAGGAAAAACAAGAAAGUGUGACUUUGACCUCUCUAGGCUCCACCUAUGUAAAUCUUCCCCCUGCUGUUUCUGCACAGUAUUCUUCACUUAAUAAGUUGUAGCUACAUAUAUAAUCUUACAUUGAACUGUUUAAGUCCUUCCAGCAAAUCACACAACCAGUGGGUGUUCGAAUACUCCAGAUAAAAUGCUUCAUGAGGUUUUACUGCAUUUCUCUAUUUUUGUUUUGUUUUGUUUCCAUCUGGUUUUAGGACGAGAAAGUUUCUGCAAAUAUGGUUCUUUAUGUCAAUUCUAAAAGCUUCCUGGAUUACCUGUUAGAAUUUGCCUCGCUUUCCUUGUAUGUUCACGAUUCUGUGUUUUUUUAUAGCCAGAAAAGAAGAGAAAAGUAAAGGAGAAAGAGAAGAAGAGGAGGAGAAGGAGAAGAGGAGGAAGAGAAAGAAGAGGAGAAGCAGGAGUAGGAAAAAAAGAUGAAAUUAACUAGAUAUUAUAAUGGUAGAAAAUAGCAGAUGUCAAACGUAACUUGCAAGAAUUAAUAAAAGUGGAAUUAAUCUAAAUUCUCUCUGAACUCCUGGAGAGGAACAUCUUUUUUGUUCUGCUGUUGUGCACAUUUGUUUUAAACUCUGAUCCCCACAACUCUGGAAAGAGUCAUUAUACUUUUUUUCCUAAAUAUAUUCACUGGAGUUUUUCAGUCCUUGCCCAACAAGUGCAUCUACAUUUCCCAGAAGAAAUUAGAGCUUUAAUUAAGCUUGCAGGAGCCCUCAGUCCUAUAAAAACUAAAUAAUUAAAAGAUAUUCAGAACCAGAGGCAGCAAGGAUGCAAUUUUAUGAACACACACACCUGUCUAUUUUCCAGUGCCAACAUAAGGUGUUUAUGUCCUAAAGGGAAAAGGUCUAAGCUAGGAAAGAAGGACAGAAAAGAGAAGCAACUAGAUAAUGGCCAUCACUAAUUGCUAAGACCUUUUAAAAUAAAUCUUUUUCAUCAAUUAAUCCCAUUAAUCACCUAGUAAUGUUUCUGGUGCUGACCCAGAGCAGCUCUGAAGAAAGAAACACAGAUUCAGCGUUUUAGCCUCUCCUUUGCUUUGUCCGUAAGUUUUCUUUCCUCUGCCAAGGCAGAAUAUUUGCUGAGCCACACGGGGUUUCCUGACUUUCAAUAACAGUGGGUAAAACACCAGCUGGCUUUCAACAUAUAAUGUGUAUCCUCAUCUUUCCAUAACUUUGGUUCCACAAUUUUAUACCAAAACAAUUUCUCAGUUUAACCUCUUCUUGCAGAAAAACAUAUGCUCACUUGUUUUCAAUGAAGCACUCUCAGGAAUUCACAAUUAGGAUCUAGAACUGUUUCCAAACUCUGAAACACACAUGCAUUCUCAACAGGUCUCUCCAGGGCCUUCGAAAACACAGAAUCAGAUCAGGAGGAGGAAAACACAUGAAAGACACUUUGGGAGGCCAAGUUGGGGUCAGAAGUUCAAGACCAGCCUGGCCAACAUGGUGAAACUUCAUCUCUACUAAACAAUGCAAAAAUUCGCCUGGCAUGGUGGCGCACACCUGUAGUCCCAGGUACUCGGGAGGCUGAGGUGGGAGAAUCUCUUGAACCCGG